This is a long non-coding RNA of Gambusia affinis (western mosquitofish), 460 nucleotides long. RefSeq lists it as uncharacterized. NCBI's taxonomy places the organism in Eukaryota, Metazoa, Chordata, Actinopteri, Cyprinodontiformes, Poeciliidae. The record is from RefSeq and is a predicted model, not a curated record. The transcript is spliced from 3 exons.
AGUGAAUUGGUUUGUUGGGACAUGAGCCGUGGCUCCAGGCCACAGAAGUAAAUCUGAGCUUUUACUGAAACCAUCGCAUCUCGCCUAAUUUCAGCUCUUGCACAUUAAAUUCCCAAUUUGGUGAAGAAAUAAAGGUCUUACGCCACAGGGCUGGUCACAGAGCGCCCCCUGCCAUCCAGCUGAGCAUUUGCACGAUCCGUCUGCCGGGUCACAUUUGGCCCCGUUGGUACAGCGGCAGGUGGCGUUGCACCCAGGGCCCCAGGUGCCGUCAGCGCAGGGGACGGAGCAGUCUGGGCCUUGCCAGCCUGCAGGCGCAACAGAAGGAAGCACGUGCCGUCGACCGGUGAGCAGUCGAUAAAGUUUUCACAGGAGCAUUCCAGGGAGCAGUUCUUCCCGUAGACGCCGCUUUUACAGGGACUCUCGCAGUGAACGCCCUGAUGACGUAAAAAAUGGAAUAAAA